AAAAUCGGUGAGGGUUCAAGUCCCUCUAUCCCCAAUAAAAGCCUAUUUUUCUUAGUAACUUUACUUCCUAACUAUUUUUUAUCUUUUCCUUUUUUUUAAUCUAAAAAUUCAGGGGCUGGGUAAGAUUUUUGCAUAAUUUCUUACUUUUUUAGUCCCUUUUUUAUGGACUUUUACUUUUAAUUAAUUCACUUAACAUAGAUAAAGUGUUCUACUAAGAUAAUGUGGGGAAAAG
Molecule: transfer RNA, 232 nt
Filed under: Gagea trinervia
Lineage: Eukaryota; Viridiplantae; Streptophyta; Magnoliopsida; Liliales; Liliaceae
Description: partial transfer RNA-Leu
Source: RNAcentral